This 464-nucleotide ribosomal RNA is filed under the name uncultured bacterium. Its description in RNAcentral is "partial 16S ribosomal RNA". It matches the Rfam family "Bacterial small subunit ribosomal RNA", at positions 339 to 795 of the family's 1533-position model. The record is from RNAcentral.
CUACGGGUCGCACCAGUGGGGAAUAUUGCACAAUGGGCGCAAGCCUGAUGCAGCCAUGCCGCGUGUAUGAAGAAGGCCUUCGGGCUGUAAAGUACUUUCAGCGGGGAGGAAGGGAGUAAAGUUAAUACCUUUGCUCAUUGACGUUACCCGCAGAAGAAGCACCGGCUAACUCCGUGCCAGCAGCCGCGGUAAUACGGAGGGUGCAAGCGUUAAUCGGAAUUACUGGGCGUAAAGCGCACGCAGGCGGUUUGUUAAGUCAGAUGUGAAAUCCCCGGGCUCAACCUGGGAACUGCAUCUGAUACUGGCAAGCUUGAGUCUCGUAGAGGGGGGUAGAAUUCCAGGUGUAGCGGUGAAAUGCGUAGAGAUCUGGAGGAAUACCGGUGGCGAAGGCGGCCCCCUGGACGAAGACUGACGCUCAGGUGCGAAAGCGUGGGGAGCAAACAGGAUUAGAUACCCUCGUAGUC